Molecule: unclassified non-coding RNA, 229 nt
Filed under: Hevea brasiliensis (rubber tree)
Lineage: Eukaryota; Viridiplantae; Streptophyta; Magnoliopsida; Malpighiales; Euphorbiaceae
Source: RNAcentral
AUCACGGCCUUGAGACGACCGCCGACCGCGUCGCCGCCGGCAAGCCGGAGCAGGGCACGAUCCGCGUUUCCGCCUAUCAUGAGGGCGGUCACAUCAUCAUCUGCAUCGCCGACAACGGGCGCGGCCUGAACACCGAGCGGAUCAAGCAGAAGGCCGUGCAGAACGGCCUCGUCACCGAAGCCGACGUCGAGAAGAUGACCGAGGCGCAGAUCCACAAGUUCAUUUUCGC